GAUGAAUGCUGGCGGCGUGCCUAACACAUGCAAGUCGAGCGGCAGCGAGUUUUACACUGAAUUCUGGAAGCUUCUGGGUAAUAUAGAAGAUCUAUUCAAGAAUUUUGUGUGAAAUGUCGGCGAGCGGCGGACGGCUGAGUAACGCGUAGGAAUUUGCCCCAAAGUGAGGAAUAACUGCCCGAAAGGGUAGCUAAUGCCGCAUACGGUCUUCGGAUUAAAGCCUUCGGGCGCUUUGGGAGAAGCCUGCGUUGGAUUAGGUAGUUGGUAGGGUAAUGGCCUACCAAGCCGACGAUCCAUAGCUGGUCUGAGAGGAUGAUCAGCCAGACUGGAACUGAGACACGGUCCAGACUCCUACGGGAGGCAGCAGUGAGGAAUCUUCCACAAUGGGCGAAAGCCUGAUGGAGCAACGCCGCGUGAAGGAUGAAGGCCUUCGGGUUGUAAACUUCUUUUAUGAGUGAAGAAUAUGACGGUAACUCAUGAAUAAGCACCGGCUAACUACGUGCCAGCAGCCGCGGUCAUACGUAGGGUGCAAGCAUUAUCCGGAGUGACUGGGCGUAAAGAGUUGCGUAGGCGGUUUAAUAAGUGAAUAGUGAAACCUGGUGGCUCAACCAUACAGACUAUUAUUCAAACUGUUAAACUCGAGAAUGGUAGAGGUAACUGGAAUUUCUAGUGUAGGAGUGAAAUCCGUAGAUAUUAGAAGGAACACCGAUGGCGUAGGCAGGUUACUGGGCCAUUUCUGACGCUGAGGCACGAAAAGCGUGGGGAGCGAACCGG
Molecule: ribosomal RNA, 774 nt
Filed under: uncultured Candidatus Saccharibacteria bacterium
Lineage: Bacteria; Candidatus Saccharimonadota
Description: bacterial SSU rRNA
Rfam family: Bacterial small subunit ribosomal RNA
Source: RNAcentral